RNAcentral lists this unclassified non-coding RNA (473 nucleotides) under uncultured Entrophospora. RNAcentral's name for it is "SSU rRNA". It matches the Rfam family "Eukaryotic small subunit ribosomal RNA", at positions 569 to 1046 of the family's 1831-position model. Lineage: Eukaryota; Fungi; Glomeromycota; Glomeromycetes; Entrophosporales; Entrophosporaceae. The record is from RNAcentral.
AGCAGCCGCGGUAAUUCCAGCUCCAAUAGCGUAUAUUAAAGUUGUUGCAGUUAAAAAGCUCGUAGUUGAAUUUCGGGAUCAGUAGGUUGGUCAUACCUCUGGUAUGUACUGGUCUCACUGAUUCCUCCCUCUUGAAGAACUGUAAUGUCAUUAAUUUGAUGUUGCGGGGAAUCAGGACUGUUACUUUGAAAAAAUUAGAGUGUUUAAAGCAGGCUCACGCUUGAAUACAUUAGCAUGGAAUAAUGAAAUAGGACGUAUGAUCCUAUUUUGUUGGUUUCUAGGAUUGACGUAAUGAUUAAUAGGGAUAGUUGGGGGCAUUAGUAUUCAAUUGUCAGAGGUGAAAUUCUUGGAUUUAUUGAAGACUAACUACUGCGAAAGCAUUUGCCAAGGAUGUUUUCAUUAAUCAAGAACGAAAGUUAGGGGAUCGAAGACGAUCAGAUACCGUCGUAGUCUUAACCAUAAACUAUGCCGAC